Molecule: RNA transcript, 4076 nt
Organism: Triplophysa rosa
Lineage: Eukaryota; Metazoa; Chordata; Actinopteri; Cypriniformes; Nemacheilidae
Gene name: chemokine-like protein TAFA-1
Exons: 6
Source: RefSeq, a predicted model, not a curated record
ACUUCGCCUGCAGUCACACAGACACACACACACAAGGCACUAGGUUAUAUCAACACUAGGUGCUGUUGCGUCCAGCUACAGUGGGCAGUCUUGCUUUAAGGCAUGCGAUGCCUCUCCUUUCCUCUCCCACUCGCGAGGCGUAUUGUCAUACACACAAACACGCCUGCACUCACAUUGGCACACGCACACCAGUCAGUGGGAAGAGGAGAGACUCGUACUGAGUGGCUUCUCAAUGGGAGGAAAGAGAGGAGACACGGAGAGAGCAAGCACGUGAGAGAGAGAGAGUGAAAGCGUGCUACACAGAAGUGCCGUCGCGUGCGCUGGAGCCUCCGUCUGUUUGCCAAAAGUGAAGAGGGAAAUUAGCUUGUGAUCUUUCAGAAGAAGCAUUACCUUCAGAGAAGAGAGAGAGCGGGAGGCUGAGGAAUAGGAAGAAUGUUGCUUCUGUGGUGAAGUAAAUGUGACAUGUCAAGCUGCUCCUCUCAAAUCCAAGCUAGUUUCUGACGUUUCACGGCUCCGAGGGGAGAAUUUGGUGUUGGGUGCUUGACUGUGUUCAGAGGAUUGCUGGAAGACUUACGACAAGCGGGAAACAAGGGCAGGAGAAGGGCUCAUCUUCUUUUUAGUUUGAUCCGAACAGGAACUUUGCUGGGGAGCUCUUUCCCGAGAGCAUGGAUGGAUAUGUGACAAUGUUUGUCUGAGGAUUUUUAUAGGAACGUUUAACGCACAUUUCUUUGGCAUUCUCCUGAUCACAUCGCACAGCCAGCGCUCCUGCCAUGUCCUGGUUCCUCGGUCUGUGGAUAAGUGUCAGCUGCCUACUGCUCUGCCACGCCACUUUGUACGAGACCAUCCAACAGCAUCAUGUGACCCAUCCAGGCCGCAAUGCCAUACAGAUUCUCGAGGGAGGAACAUGUGAGGUCAUCGCUGCACACAGAUGUUGCAACAAGAACCGCAUUGAGGAACGCUCGCAGACGGUCAAGUGCUCAUGUUUACCAGGGAAAGUGGCCGGCACUACACGGAACAAACCCUCUUGUGUAGACGCUUCUAUCGUGAUUGGGAAGUGGUGGUGUGAGAUGGAGCCGUGUUUGGAGGGGGAGGAGUGUAAGACUCUACCUGAUAACUCCGGCUGGAUGUGUUCUUCUGGGAACAAGAUCAAGACCACGAGGAACACGCAGCCAUACUCAACAUUUUAGCUCCGAGGGCCACAGAGGCUCAACAGAAGCUCAGCGGCGUCCGUCUACUCAUCAAGAGAGGGACCACUCCUUGCCUGUACAGUAGCUCCAGACAAGGCAGGCCUCUUUUGAGGAAGGCACACAAUGCAAGAGGCUGAGAGAGACCCUCACACUCGCCCUGCAUAGACCUUCUUUUACCGGUUCCUAAUGGCUAUAGCAUUCGGUUCCUUUAUAUACAAAUAAAAUCAAUGCUUUAAAAAGAAGAUACAUACUAGAGGCAUACAGCUUUCCCCAAUUCAUAUACCUCCAUCCUUAUGUGUCUCGUGUGAGAGGAGACAUGGACUGCCGUGGCGAUGGGUCUUAUUUGCUCAACAGUGUGCACCUAAAUAGGCAACAUGCACUUAUUACAUGCAAUUAUUAGUGAAUAAAAGCCCUUAAAGGGAUAGUUCACCCAAAAAUGAAAAGUCUGUCUUUAUUUACUCAGCCUCUUGUCUUUUCAAAUCUGUAUGAAUUUCUUUAUUCUGCAAAAAAAAAAAGAUAUUCUGAAGAAUAGUGCGGUACCCAUUCACUUCUGUUGUAUGGACACAAAACCAAUGCAAAUCAAUGGAUACCGCCGUUGUUUAGUUACCAACAUUCUUCAAAAUAUAUUUUAUGAUUUGCAGAAGAUAUAAAGUCAUACAGGUUUGAAAUGACAAGAGGGUGAGUAAACGAUGACAACAUUUUCAUUUUGGGGUGAACUGUUCCUUUAAGAGCAUUUAAAUAAUAUGGUCACAAACCUGGGAAUUUUAACCUAAACCAUUUGUUUUGUUUUUAUUUCAUGUCAUAAAUCGUGCAAUCUUUAGUCCGCACGUUCCACACAGAAAUAAACUCCUAUUGGAAACAUGGCGUUCAGUUUUCAACAUGUUCUGGUCAUAUUUUCCCAUUUCCUUCCCGAGUCAGAUUUAGUGGGCAGUUAUAUGUCUUUGAAACACAUGUUCAUAACAGAAGGCGUUUUACCAGAUACCUGUGCUUUGUGAAAAAACAAAACCCCAUCUGGGUGGCUUUUCAGAGCAGAAGUAAUAUGCCAAGUGAUGAAGCCGAAGAUUAUAUGUGGUAAAAUUGCAUGAUUAUCAAGUCAGUUCCCAGCGGUCCUGUUGAACCCGGUGCCUUGCUGUAUCUGUAUCUCUUUGCCGCUGUCAAUGUCACAUUAAAUUAAUUCUAACACAUUCAUGCUGUCUGGAGUCUUGCUGUAUGUUAUCCUCAUUUAAAAGUCUCAUUCGACGACAGGACAAAUCUACACCAGAUUACAGUUUUUAAUGCAUGGGGCAAUUGUGAUGCAAAACGCAUUUAAAUGUCAUUUGUGAAUUAGAAUGCAAAUAAGGCACGUGACGACCGUGAUGUGGAUCCGGACCGAUCGCUGAUGCGGUAGAGACAGCAGAGGUCACCUGCGCUGAGAUGCAGAGAAAUAUGACAACAUUUGCAUAGCACCUCUAUCCAUUGCAACAAACCGCAUAGGGAGAGACAGAGCCGUGCAUGCUAGCAGACAGCUGAAGACAAAUUGCAUCAGGGUCACUAUGGUACUUUUUUGUAAAAUAUGCGCAGGCUGGGAAAUGCGAAAUCGCAUGCAAGGCUUGUGGAAAAAUGAGGCAUGUUCAGCAUAGCACAAACAAAAAGCGGUUUAGCACAAAAUGGAUUUCUGGGACAGAGCUGUCAGCCAAAGUUUACAUGCUGUCAGCGGACGUAAGGAUUUGAGUCCGGCAAAACGGAUUAUUUAAAACAAAGAGAUUACUGCCUUCUUUGUCAAAGAAGCAUCCGUCUUCCCUUGUCCCGAGUUAAUUUAGCUGGAACGCCAUGGAAGUUCAGUUCAUUAUUGAGGUUAGUCACGCAGCGUUCGUUGUGAUGUCAUUGGCUAGCUGAGUGAUGCCCAAUUUCUUCACGGAAGCCAUCCGAGCUGCAAUGACUGCCGUGAACUGGUUCCUCUCCAGGGAAUCCAAUAUGACGGACAGCUCCUCUGCCUCUACCAGGCCGUGCCUAUAAUGAUGAGAACACGUGGGGCGUAACAUUGCCGCAUGACAGCUGUCUGUCUGUUGGGUUACGAGGGGCCUCAAGGGGUGCUUCUAAUUUUUGUCCCCAGUCUCUCUCUCUCUCUGUCUGUGUGUCUCUCUCUCAAUCUGUAGCUUACACCUGGAACACUUAAUUUGGGAAAUGUCAGCGUAUGCUUUAUGUGCUGAGGGCGAAGCCACGGGCUUGAGCUUUUAAUUAGCUUCAUUGUACUGAUGACAUCACGACUUGCCGAUACAGAACCCACAACAAGCGCUUGCGUUUAUGUGCAUGAGAGAGAGACUCAGACUGAGAAGAUCAUAUUAAACAUUCAUUAUAUGAGGAUUGGUGGAUGUUUGCUUUCUGGGAAGCAGGUCUGCACUGACGUAAGUUGUCUAAUUGUUAGUGACUGGGUUUGUUAUCAUGCAUUUCCUCCAGUGUGAGCAAAGCCUGAGUAAAAAUGCUGCACGGAGAGCGAGACGCACUCACCAGACACACUAAAUAGGGGUCCGUGAACUCACCGAGAGAGAAAACGAGAGAAACAGAGGAAGAAUAUUAUUUCCCUCUUGGCAUUGCUGCCUAGUUCUUUUCAUUGCAAAGUAAACAGGGAUGAUGCUGAGAUGUGAUUGGCUAGCGCCAUGAUGUGCAAGAGGCCACAGCGAUGGAUACGCAUUCACACACGCAACUCAUUUUACAGCAUAGCGACAGUCAGAUAUCAGUCUGGCAUCCUACAGAUGUGUACACAACGUCAUCCAUACACAAACAAUGGCUUCACAAUUCCAAUGAGUGCUCCUUGUGGCUUUGAAAAUUUAAAAUUCAGUCGACCCCUUUGGGAAUCGCCCAAGCAUUUGACCUUUGUUCUAAGCAUGCAUUUGUGUGUUUUCCCCUCCC